UGUGUGUUUUAGCGUGUGUCUGAGGGUUCUGCUCUUCCAGCGUGGCUGGCAGGGCUCAAGACCUGAAGUGACAAAGGCUUUGUGAAUGUCUGACUCACAGACAACUGUCAGCAUUCAAUGGGCUGGAUUAAGAUGGAGCAUAGAACCGAGCACACCCUGACAUGUUGACAUGUUCUACUAAGUGCAUUUCAAGGUGGAUUUAGCUUGUUUGCUCCAUUGUGGAGCGACAGAGGAGACACAAUUGCUAAAUGGGACUGGCUAUUCUUGAGAUGGCGGGUGAACUCUACUCCGCUGUCUGGUUUAGGAUUGACACUGGCUUCAUUCUCGAGACUUCCUUUGAUGUUCAGAUACUUCACCUUCCUGCAAAACAGAGGAUCAACAGCUGGUUGUAAUACUGCAGAUUCCACAUACAAAGGAUGUGUUGAACUACAUCUCUUUAUGGAUCAGCAUUAUACAUUCUGAGCAUCUGGAUCAAGAAGUCAAGAGGUGGAUUAUGCUGCAGGGGUGGUUUCACAAGUUUCUAUGAACAUUAUACUUUAUUUCUACAGCGGAAAACACACAGUAUAACUCCACUGUAAUGUCAGAUAUUCAGUUUCGGAUCACCUUUUACAAGCAAAAACAUUUCACAGCCAUGUUUCCAGUCUAAAGGAGCUGAGGAUGAGAGACGGCAGAAUUUGUAUUGAGAUUGUAAUGUUUUUUUAUUUGAUUAAGACAUUGUUUUAAAUUCAACAUAAUAAUUCACCAUGCUCUUGACGUGUAGAUAUGGAGACACUUGAUUGAAAUCGAUUGUUGAAAGUUAAAUAAUUAGGAGUUUAAUUUCAAUCCACUUAAUUUAAUUUAAAGACUGAAUAUUGGUUUUACUUAAUUCAUUACUUGGUACAAACAUAACUAAUUAUAAUUUGCACAAUGCAAAUAUACUCUUGGUCACACAAAUCUCUUUACUCACAACUUUAAAUUUUAAUUUAACUGCUAAGUACUUCUCCCGCCAACAGAACUUUAUUGCUACAGGAAAAUCUAACUUAAUUAUUUAAUAACAUUUAUUAUUUGUAAUUAAACCCUUAUUAAAUUACUUUUUUGCGGUGUGUUUAACAAUGUCUCUCUGCUGUCCUGAAAGUCUCUUAGCUAUCUGUUAAUUAAAAAGGCAAUAAAACCAUAUUAGAAGCAUUACUAAUAAGAUGAGUCCAAGCAAAUAAUAUAAUUGGAUUGAAAACAUUUGAGGUUGAGCUUGGGCACAUUCACACAGAGGUUAACACCUGUUUGCCCUCCAGCCAACCACUCAAUCAACAUGUGGUGACUGACUAUCAAUCCUUCAGCUGUGUACCAACAGAAAUGUACAGCCUUCAGCACUAUUUCAUGUCAGAAAAAACAGACCUGCAUAUAAAUAUUCCAACAUUUUGGUGAAAAAUGACUAAAUUUACAAGAAUAGAAAGGUUUAUUUUUGGCAGGAUGACAACAUUUGGACUAUAAUCACACACAAAAACUCUCCACUGAAGAGAAGCCAGCUGAACCAACCCUCACAUCCAAAGGGAGGAGCAUCUCCCAUAAUCCCUGCAUUCAAAUCAACUGUUAAAUGAAACAUCGCCUGAAUAAAAGCAAGCAGAGCUGGUGUCACUCA
Molecule: long non-coding RNA, 1615 nt
Organism: Micropterus dolomieu (smallmouth bass)
Lineage: Eukaryota; Metazoa; Chordata; Actinopteri; Centrarchiformes; Centrarchidae
Exons: 3
Source: RefSeq, a predicted model, not a curated record